Molecule: ribosomal RNA, 508 nt
Filed under: uncultured Glomeromycotina
Lineage: Eukaryota; Fungi; Glomeromycota
Description: partial small subunit ribosomal RNA
Rfam family: Eukaryotic small subunit ribosomal RNA
Source: RNAcentral
CCAAUAGCGUAUAUUAAGGUUGCUGCGGUUAAAAAGCUCGUAGUUGAAUUUCGGGAUUGAUGCAUCGGUCGUGCCUUAAGGGGUAUGAGCUGGUGUGGUCAAUUUUUUACCUUCUGGUGAAUUGUGAUGUCCUCCUCAAUUGGGUGUUUCAAUGAACUAGGACUUUUUACUUUGAAAAAAUUAGAGUGUUUAAAGCAGGCAUUAUUUGCUUGAAUACAUUAGCAUGGAAUAAUAAAUAGGACAAUGAUUCUAUUUUGUUGGUUUCUAGGAUCACUGUAAUGAUUAAUAGGGAUAGUUGGGGGCAUUAGUAUUCAAUUGUCAGAGGUGAAAUUCUUGGAUUAAUUGAAGACUAACUAUUGCGAAAGCAUUUGCCAAGGAUAUUUUCAUUAAUCAAGAACGAAAGUUAGGGGAUCGAAGACGAUUAGGUACGUCGUAGUCUUAACCAUAAACUAUGCCGACUAGGAAUCAGACAACGUUAAAUUUUUAAUGACUUGUUUGGCACCUUACG